RNAcentral lists this ribosomal RNA (498 nucleotides) under uncultured bacterium. RNAcentral's name for it is "bacterial SSU rRNA". It matches the Rfam family "Bacterial small subunit ribosomal RNA", at positions 38 to 507 of the family's 1533-position model. The record is from RNAcentral.
GGCGGCGUGCCUAACACAUGCAAGUCGUACGAGAAAGCCGGCUUCGGCUGGUGAGUAAAGUGGCGCACGGGUGAGUAACGCGUGGAGUAAUCUGCCCUUAACGUAGUGGAAUAAACGUACCGAAAGGUGCGCUAAUACCGCAUAAUGCCUGGCAACACAAGUUGUCCGGCCAAAGAAGGCCUCUGUUUACAAGCUUUCGCUUCAGGAUGAGUCCGCGUACCAUUAGCUUGUUGGUGGGGGUAAUGGCCUACCAAGGCUGCGAUGGUUAGCUGGUCUGAGAGGAUGAUCAGCCACACUGGAACUGAGACACGGUCCAGACUCCUACGGGAGGCAGCAGUGAGGAAUAUUGCGCAAUGGGGGCAACCCUGACGCAGCAACGCCGCGUGAGUGAGGAAGGUUUUCGGACUGUAAAGCUCUGUCGAGCGGGAAGAAGUGUACCAUGGCUAAUAUCCAUGAUAUUUGACGGUACCGCUAGAGGAAGCACCGGCUAACUCCGUG